This 475-nucleotide ribosomal RNA is filed under the name Starmerella bacillaris. Its description in RNAcentral is "partial large subunit ribosomal RNA". It matches the Rfam family "Eukaryotic large subunit ribosomal RNA", at positions 38 to 530 of the family's 3401-position model. Lineage: Eukaryota; Fungi; Ascomycota; Dipodascomycetes; Dipodascales; Trichomonascaceae. The record is from RNAcentral.
GCAUAUCAAUAAGCGGAGGAAAAGAAACCAACAGGGAUUGCCCUAGUAACGGCGAGUGAACAGGCAAGAGCUCAGAUUUGAAAGGCACUUUUGUGCCGUUGUAUUCUGAAGUUAGGGUCCUGAGAAACGAUGCUUAAGUCUUCUGGAAAGGAGCGCCAUGGAGGGUGAUAGCCCCGUCUAGCAUUGACCUCAUAUAGGAUCUUAACAUGGAGUCGAGUUGUUUGGGAAUGCAGCUCAAAUGGGUGGUAUGCUCCAUCUAAAGCUAAAUAUCUGCGAGAGACCGAUAGUAAACAAGUACUGUGAGGGAAAGAUGAAAAGAACUUUGAAAAGAGAGUGAAAAAGUACGUGAAAUUGUUGAAAUGGAAGGGUAGGCCGCUAACCAUGUAGAGCCGUGUUUGGGGGGAAGAUAAAUGCUGUAGAAUGUAGCUCCUCGGAGUAUUAUAGAUGCAGUUCAUAUUCCCACCCGAGCGCGAGG